This 219-nucleotide non-coding RNA is filed under the name Fictibacillus enclensis. Its description in RNAcentral is "T-box sequence". It matches the Rfam family "T-box leader". From Rfam's summary of the family: Uncharged tRNA acts as the effector for transcription antitermination of genes in the T-box leader family. T-boxes are found upstream of many aminoacyl-tRNA synthetase genes and some amino acid biosynthetic genes usually in Gram-positive bacteria. The anticodon of a specific tRNA base pairs to a specifier sequence within the T-box motif, and the NCCA acceptor tail of the tRNA base pairs to a conserved bulge in the T-box antiterminator hairpin. Lineage: Bacteria; Bacillati; Bacillota; Bacilli; Caryophanales; Fictibacillaceae. The record is from RNAcentral.
AGCAAAACGAUGAUGGAGAUAAGUAUGUUUUGACCCUUUUCCAAGAGAGGAAACCCCCGGCUGUAAGGUUUCUAAAAGGAAAGAACAGAAAGCUACUCCCGAGUGCAGUUAAUCCCUGCCGGUGAAACCCCGUUACGGUUUACAUAAGGUGAUGAUUUCGGUGUUCGGCUUAAAUCAUAACCAGGGUGGUACCGCGUGAUAACAACUCUCGUCCCUGAU